UGUGAGGAUUCCGCUCAUAGCGUAUAUUAAAGUUGUUGCGGUUAAAAAGCUCGUAGUUGGAUUUCUGCUUGGGGUGGCCGAUGUGCCUUCUGGGUUACAGCCGGUUCAGCCUGAGCAUCUUCUUGGGAAUCGUGUCUGCACUUGACUGUGUGGCACGGGUUCCAGGACUUUUACUUUGGGGGAAAUUAAAGUUUUUUCAAGCAGGGGGUCCCGCCUUGUGAAUCGUUAGGCAUGGGAAUAUAAGCGCAACAGGAC
This 255-nucleotide ribosomal RNA is filed under the name uncultured marine alveolate. Its description in RNAcentral is "partial 18S ribosomal RNA". The record is from RNAcentral.